Molecule: long non-coding RNA, 167 nt
Filed under: Ursus maritimus (polar bear)
Lineage: Eukaryota; Metazoa; Chordata; Mammalia; Carnivora; Ursidae
Description: lncRNA (ENSUMAG00000015804.1)
Source: RNAcentral
AUGGAUAAUUGCAGUUGGAUUUUUCUUCAUCAACCUCCCCCCCACCCUUUUUUUUUUUCUUUUUGGUGUCAAGAUCAUGCGUUUUCGCUUGUUCUUAACCACCUGGAUUUCCAUCUGGAUGUUGCUGUGAUCUGUCUGAAAUACAAGCAGUUGAACUCCAGAAGGAC